RNAcentral lists this ribosomal RNA (303 nucleotides) under uncultured bacterium. Its description in RNAcentral is "bacterial SSU rRNA". It matches the Rfam family "Bacterial small subunit ribosomal RNA", at positions 355 to 672 of the family's 1533-position model. The record is from RNAcentral.
UGGGGAAUAUUGCGCAAUGGGGGCAACCCUGACGCAGCAACGCCGCGUGAUUGAAGAAGGCCUUCGGGUUGUAAAGAUCUUUAAUUGGGGACGAAAGAAAUGACGGUACCCAAAGAAUAAGCUCCGGCUAACUACGUGCCAGCAGCCGCGGUAAUACGUAGGGAGCAAGCGUUAUCCGGAUUUACUGGGUGUAAAGGGCGAGUAGGCGGGCUGGCAAGUUGGGAGUGAAAUCCCGGGGCUUAACCCCGGAACUGCUUUCAAAACUGCUGGUCUUGAGUGAUGGAGAGGCAGGCGGAAUUCCGU